Molecule: long non-coding RNA, 1497 nt
Organism: Brachypodium distachyon (stiff brome)
Lineage: Eukaryota; Viridiplantae; Streptophyta; Magnoliopsida; Poales; Poaceae
Exons: 2
Source: RefSeq, a predicted model, not a curated record
GGCCGCAGCUCAUCCUUCCCUCUUUCUUUUUCUCCUGGGCCUUUUUUUCCUUGGCCCAACUUCUCUGCCGACCGAGGCAGCCCAUCCCGUGCACACGUUCCUCGCUUCGUCUUCCUCCGGUCGACCACGCACGCACGCGCCUGUCGUUCCGGUGCACGCCGCCGCCGCUUCGAAUUACCGUUUUCAGCCGCUCCUCUCCAAACCAAAACCGUCAAAUCGAUCCUCAUCACCUCACGAACCUUUCAAUCGUCAGUUUCGUAUCUUUAAUCUUCUUUAAUCUCCCGUUGAAACGGAAGCCGCAUCUGGUAUUCGCCUAACAACUAUCGUAGAGCAUGUGUAUUCGUCGUCUUCCCCGCCGCCCGAGGCCACCAUUCUUGAAGGUGAGCUCGCAAGGUAGCUUCGUUAUGCAGUUCCUUGCAUUCGAGAACUCACGUAAUCCCCGUGGGCUCGAGGCACGUCCCAAGGCGAGUGGUAGGCCCGGCUCCGGACGGCGCGACCGUCCAGGGUGAGGCGGGGCAUCCCGCACCGGCAGCACCAACGUCGACCUCCCUUGGCCACAGCCCAACGGUACGGCGCAACGCGCCCCAAGCGGCAGCGGCUCACUCCAAUUAUUGGAGUCCAAUUGACUCCAACGGCGCUCAUCCUCCGUGACCUCUUCCUCCCCAAUCCCAAACAGGAGGAGAGCUGGGGGCGCCUACAUCAGAAUUUAAGUCCAAGCACUGUGGUUUCAAGCGUCAAGAUAUUGGAUUUGAUGGUGAAUUUUGGUGUCUUCGAGGAGUUUAAGAUGCUGGACAGCUUCCUCAGAUGUUUUCCCAAUGUUGACACUUUGCAUAUCCAGGUUCUCACGAGUUCAUUCAGUAUUUUUUUUUUUCAACAUGUGAUCUCACCCCUUUCCAUUUCCUAAACGGAAAUACAACGUUGUCCACCGCAGCAGCACCAUAAGAGCGAGGGGGAGGGGAGCAAGCAGGUUUAAACUACCGGAGCAGGAAACUCACUGACCAGCCCGCAAUCGGGAACUGACUAUGAGACAAAAACCUGGCCCCUAAUCUAGCCCUAAAGCAAGUUCAGACAGAAUAACAUCCCAAGUUAUCAUACAGGAACAACACAAGCAACCAACAACUAGCCAAAAGAGCUGACAGUCCUUCAUCACACCCACUUCAAGUGAUCACACAUCAAGAAGAUGGUUUUCCACAAAUCGGAGGGAAUCAAAAUGAAUUUGAGUUCCUCAAGUUCAUUGCCACGAAUGCGCAGGAGUUGCGGUCUUUGCUGGCUGUAUUACAGGAAGAAAAAAAUUGCUUCCACGGGCAUGAUGAAUGAGCUUAUACAAAAAUUGCGGUGUCGAGGAAUGCUUGGAGCUUCGAUAAAGCAUUCUAUCAAAAUGUUGACGACUCUUUUUGUAUGGAUUAUCAUCUUCAUUAGCUAUAUGUUUACAUGAUUGAUCCGAACCUUGGGGGAUCAUCGACUGUUCUACUGAAAGAUGUUCUUGUUUAGUUUGUA